Magallana angulata is the source of this 1515-nucleotide long non-coding RNA. RefSeq lists it as uncharacterized. Lineage: Eukaryota; Metazoa; Mollusca; Bivalvia; Ostreida; Ostreidae. The transcript has 2 exons. The record is from RefSeq and is a predicted model, not a curated record.
UACCAAACAUUCUAACAAAUGCCCAUGAGCAGCUCAUGAGAAGCACAUGAGAAUCUAGUAAGAAAUGUAUGCAAAUUAGGUAGGAAUUCAUUUUGCUCAUGUGCAGAUUGUUAGUCUCUGUUAGGGAGGAAAAUACUAACCAAAAUGCACAUGUGCAAAAAUUUGCUCACCUGAUUGCUCAUGAGCAAAAUUCUAUUCGAAUUGCUCACGUAAGCAACAGGCUAUACAGAUACAUUGACGGUAUAUUUUUUUUCUAAGUUCAACUUUCUCACGUGAGCAAGAGGUUAGGAAAUUGGACUUAGUCAGUAUAUGCAGUAUCAAAGUUAAAUUAAAAUGAAAAAAAAAAGAAUAAGUCCUUUUUCCUCACGUAAGCAAUUGCAAAAUUUUGUUAACAAGUACAUUUUGACACCCCCUCCCCCACCCCAUUUUUUUUUCGUGAACGCCAAACUGUCAGGUUUUUUUUUUUUUUUUUUUUUGGUAACGUUAUAUUCUUUUUUUCCUAAAUUCAAUUAUCACUCAACUUACGAUUUAGAUAUGAGAAUCUGACAAAACCGCUUGAUAUUGUGAUUUUUCGUAAGCUGUUUGUUUCUACUUUUACUUUUGUUUUAAUGUAAAGUUACUUGCUAGUCUGGUUCUCCCUCCCGCCCAAAACGAAGUAAAUAACGCAGUGGCGGGGGAACCAGUCUAAGCUAUGCGCGCACUCAUUGGUUGAUUAAAUGCCAGCCGCCAAUUUUCAUAUUCGAUUCCGCCAUGUUGUCUACCAUCACAGAUGACGGUGAAAUGAAUUAAAAAGGGAAUUAUCUGAUUCUGUACGGUACUACCGGUUGAUAAGGUUAAAAACUACGUUGUCGAUGGGGUAUUCGUCUAUGGAGUGUUUUAGUGUGAAAAAUCCACGCCUGAACAGAGGAAGAAUCUGAAUGAAUGAAUCGAGUGUCGACACCCCCUGCAUCUUCUGUAUGAGCACUUCAAGCAUGCCCUGAGUUGCACAGACCUGAAGAAAACCAUGAAAAGCUCGCUGAUUUUAUAAUGAUGCAACAAAAAAAGUGAAGACGUAAUUUAAGUAAUGGAGAAGUUAUACAUGCUGAUCGAAGUCUGGUUGUGUCAAUUUGGAUAUUAUUGUGAUGUUCUUGUAGUCAGCUGUUUGUGUGGUUUACAGUUUAUGUGUGAAAUCAGAGAGCAUGUGAGACACGAGACUGUCAAAGAAAGGACAUUUGGAAUGUUGGAGACGAAUGCCUCGAUCGAUUGUAAUGCAGCCAGUGUUCGUGCAGCACUUAUGAACUACUUUGUAUGUAUGGUUAAAUUGAACUUUGCCUACUGUGAACUGUGAUUUUUUUUCCAAGUCCGACUGUGUGCUACACUGCUUUGUGUGAUCAAACUGCAAUACAAAUUUUAACAUGCCAGCAUUUAUUAUUGGUAAACUUUCUAAAGAUUUAUGUAAAUGUAAUGUUAAACAAUGUAUGAAAUUGUAUUUUUAAAAUGACUGAUGUAAAUAUAUAUUGAUGAUUUUAAUUUCAA